Molecule: ribosomal RNA, 293 nt
Filed under: uncultured bacterium
Lineage: Bacteria
Description: partial 16S ribosomal RNA
Rfam family: Archaeal small subunit ribosomal RNA
Source: RNAcentral
GUGCCAGCCGCCGCGGUAAUACCGGCAGCUCAAGUGAUGUCCCAUAUUAUUGGGCCUAAAGCGUCCGUAGCUGGCCAUGCAAGUCCACUGGGAAAUCCACCCGCUCAACGGGUGGCCGUCCGGUGGAACCUGUGUGGCUUGGGACCGGAAGGCGCGACGGGUACGUCCGGGGUAGGAGUGAAAUCCCAUAAUCCCGCACGGACCACCGAUGGCGAAAGCACUUCGAGAAAACGGAUCCGACAGUGAGGGACGAAAGCCAGGGUCUCCAACCGGAUUAGAAGCCCGGGUAGUCC